This is a long non-coding RNA of Heterocephalus glaber (naked mole-rat), 407 nucleotides long. The record is from Ensembl. NCBI's taxonomy places the organism in Eukaryota, Metazoa, Chordata, Mammalia, Rodentia, Bathyergidae.
CAUGAAAGGAUGUGUACUCAAAGCCACAUCCCUCGAUGUCACAUUCUCCAUCCUCUCUCGACCCCUGGAAACUGCAUGACGGAACAGCUCCUUUGAAGUUAAUGCAGACUUUGACUGUUGCUGCAUCUCCUGAAGGUCAAAGCCAUCAGAAUCUCAGUGCUAUUAUCAGCGAGGGUUGCAAAGCCCAGCCCAGCUGUAGCUCCUCAUGUGAAGCACACUCUUGCAGGACUAAUGAAUGCUUCAGUUUCAUCAGAAACUCUACAAGCAGGGGCUUCUGGUGGCUGCGUCUGAGGAGGUGGCCAAGGCUGAAAUAAGGAACCGCACCAACCCCUCUGUAGAAGAAGUCUGCAGGUUCCAAUCCUGACUCUGCCACUUACAAGCCGUGCAACUCUGGGCCUAGUACUUAG